Molecule: ribosomal RNA, 437 nt
Filed under: uncultured Barnesiella sp.
Lineage: Bacteria; Pseudomonadati; Bacteroidota; Bacteroidia; Bacteroidales; Barnesiellaceae
Description: partial 16S ribosomal RNA
Rfam family: Bacterial small subunit ribosomal RNA
Source: RNAcentral
ACGGGAGGCAGCAGUGGGGAAUAUUGGGCAAUGGGCGCAAGCCUGACCCAGCAACGCCGCGUGAGGGAUGAAGGUUUUCGGAUUGUAAACCUCUGUCCUUGGUGACGAACACAAUGACGGUAGCCAAGGAGGAAGCCCCGGCUAACUACGUGCCAGCAGCCGCGGUAAUACGGAGGAUGCGAGCGUUAUCCGGAUUUAUUGGGUUUAAAGGGUGCGCAGGCGGCACGUUAAGUCAGCGGUGAAAUGCAGGGGCUCAACCCCGGCACUGCCGUUGAAACUGGCGAGCUCGAGUACGGAUGAAGUCGGCGGAAUGUGAUGUGUAGCGGUGAAAUGCUUAGAUAUGUCACAGAACACCGAUUGCGAAGGCAGCUGACUAAUCCGCAACUGACGCUCAGGCACGAAAGCGUGGGGAUCGAACAGGAUUAGAUACCCUGGUA